CAAAUAGACACACAGAGGCACCCAAGUCACGAGAGAAUUCUGUUGCACUCAACCUCUGUAACUGAUUUCUAAUUACUGGUUAUAUCAGAGUUGCUUUUACAUAGUAACGGCACAUGGGCGAUAAUUUGUGUUUGUGGAUAGAGGUUACCAAAGGCAAGUGAUAUGAUCUGUUUAAAAAAACCUUUAUGCUUUAUGGAAUGUAGAAUAUUCUCAGGGUAAAAUGGUUCAGAGAAGGCUCGAAUGUGGUGCCGAGGUCAGAGCCAGCAGGCAGCGCUUUGCUGUCACUUUGGAAAGAUGCAAGAAAACUCCUAGCAAAAAAGGAGUGAGCUUUAGUAGGACUUCAGGGUGUUAAGGCACAGAGAGAAAGAGAAGCAGAGCUGAUUGUGGAGCUGUGCAGUGGGCUGGGGGCUGUCCCUCAGGCACAGGGUGCGGGGGUGUGCGGUGCCAUCCCUGCAGGGUUCCACCGCCCCGCCUUCCUCCUGCAUCCCCUCCAGCUGGCUGUGGGAGGUGUGCAGCUUCAGUGCCAUCUGCUAAGGAGGUGUGAGAGAACGGAGGGCUUUUUCCAUCUUCUAUUUCCGGAAAGGAGGGGAAAAAAUGGAAUUCGUGCAUGUUUCGGUGUCAGUGUGCAGCUUACAGUAAUAACAGCAAAACCCCAUGUAGAAGAUGUUGGAGUUGUAACAUACACUUGUACAGAAAUAUGAAAUAAUUGUUAUAGUCUAUUCUUUUCAAUGUUAACAAAACAGUAUUUUUUUUUUCUCCCAAAGCAAAUCUCUGUUACAGCCAAAACUGAUGGAAUUGAUAGCCAACUCUGUGCUCCCUCUUGUACUAAUGAUGUGUCGUUACUGCUUUGAUUUCCUUUGCAUAGUGGCCCGGUGAUGGUAAUCCAGAAGCACCUGUUGGGUGAUUCCAGUGCAUGUGCUUUCACACGGCUCCAGCACCCAGACGUGUGAAAUGCUGAAUGACUCUCGCAGCUGAAUCACCGCGUUUCUUCAGGUUUCCCAGGCGGAGCCAGCGCUGCCUCUCAAAUCCUUAUCAAUAUGCAAGCGAGAGCAAGGUCCAGUCUGGGCUGAAUGCCAGCGAGGCACUAUGCUUAAGUAGUAAGUAUGAUUAUCUUGCUAAUAAGCACCAACUUCGAAUUAAGCUCAUGUUUAUAGAUACAUAGGAUGUUUAAAUGUUAAGUGGCAUUAAUUAAAAUCCCGAUGAGGUUCUGUCAUAGGUAAUGGCACAAUAAUAAAGAAUUGUUUGUUCCUUUAGUAUUGUGGUUA
Molecule: long non-coding RNA, 1265 nt
Filed under: Numida meleagris (helmeted guineafowl)
Lineage: Eukaryota; Metazoa; Chordata; Aves; Galliformes; Numididae
Description: lncRNA (ENSNMEG00000007516.1)
Source: RNAcentral